GCGCCAGGGAAUUAMGAGCGCAAGCUUAAAAUCCAAAGGAUUUGACGGUGUCCCACCCACCWARAGGAGCCUGUUCUAUAAUCGAUAAUCCUCGAUAUACCCAACCAUUUCUUGCUUUNCAGCCUGUAUACCUCCGUCGUAAGCUUACCAUUUGAAUGUAAAAAAGUAAGUUUAAGGAUCACUCAUCAACACGUCAGGUCAAGGUGCAGCCAAUGUAAUGGAAAGUAAUGGGCUACAAUUUCUAUCAUAGAACAAACGAAACACUGCAUGAAAAAUUAGUCAUGAAGGCGGAUUUAGUAGUAAAAAAAGAAUAGAGUGCUUUNNUUAACAAGGCCCUGGGACGUGUACACACCGCCCG
This 358-nucleotide ribosomal RNA is filed under the name Mantella cowani. RNAcentral's name for it is "partial 12S ribosomal RNA". It matches the Rfam family "Bacterial small subunit ribosomal RNA", at positions 869 to 1396 of the family's 1533-position model. The record is from RNAcentral. Lineage: Eukaryota; Metazoa; Chordata; Amphibia; Anura; Mantellidae.